CAGUAGCCGCGGUAAUACGAAGGGUGCAAGCGUUACUCGGAAUUACUGGGCGUAAAGCGCGCGUAGGCGGUUACUCAAGUCAGAGGUGAAAGCCCGGGGCUCAACCCCGGAACUGCCUUUGAAACUAGGUGACUAGAAUCUUGGAGAGGUCAGUGGAAUUCCGAGUGUAGAGGUGAAAUUCGUAGAUAUUCGGAAGAACACCAGUGGCGAAGGCGACUGACUGGACAAGUAUUGACGCUGAGGUGCGAAAGCGUGGGGAGCAAACAGGAUUAGAGACCCCGGUAGUCCCUGUCUCUUAUAC
This 301-nucleotide ribosomal RNA is filed under the name uncultured bacterium. RNAcentral describes it as "partial 16S ribosomal RNA". It matches the Rfam family "Bacterial small subunit ribosomal RNA", at positions 509 to 807 of the family's 1533-position model. The record is from RNAcentral.